This 486-nucleotide ribosomal RNA is filed under the name uncultured bacterium. RNAcentral describes it as "partial 16S ribosomal RNA". It matches the Rfam family "Bacterial small subunit ribosomal RNA", at positions 30 to 507 of the family's 1533-position model. The record is from RNAcentral.
AUUGAACGCUGGCGGCAUGCCUUACACAUGCAAGUCGAACGGCAGCACGGGUGCUUGCCCCUGGUGGCGAGUGGCGAACGGGUGAGUAAUACAUCGGAACAUGUCCUGUAGUGGGGGAUAGCCCGGCGAAAGCCGGAUUAAUACCGCAUACGAUCUACGGAUGACAGCGGGGGACCUUCGGGCCUCGGGCUUUAGGGUUGGCCGAUGGCUGAUGGGCUCGUUGGUGGGGUAAAGGCCUACCAAGGCGACGAUCAGUAGCUGGUCUGAGAGGACGACCAGCCACACUGGGACUGAGACACGGCCCAGACUCCUACGGGAGGCAGCAGUGGGGAAUUUUGGACAAUGGGCGAAAGCCUGAUCCAGCAAUGCCGCGUGUGUGAAGAAGGCCUUCGGGUUGUAAAGCACUUUUGUCCGGAAAGAAAUCCUUGGCCCUAAUACGGUCGGGGGAUGACGGUACCGGAAGAAUAAGCACCGGCUAACUACGUG